This 467-nucleotide ribosomal RNA is filed under the name uncultured bacterium. RNAcentral describes it as "partial 16S ribosomal RNA". It matches the Rfam family "Bacterial small subunit ribosomal RNA", at positions 29 to 507 of the family's 1533-position model. The record is from RNAcentral.
ACGAACGCUGGCGGCGUGCUUAACACAUUCCAGUCGCACGGAAAGGCCCUGCUUUUGUGGGGUGCUCGAGUGGCGAACGGGUGAGUAACACGUGAGUAACCUGCCCUUGACUUUGGGAUAACUUCAGGAAACUGGGGCUAAUACCGGAUAGGAGCUCCUGCUGCAUGGUGGGGGUUGGAAAGUUUCGGCGGUUGGGGAUGGACUCGCGGCUUAUCAGCUUGUUGGUGGGGUAGUGGCUUACCAAGGCUUUGACGGGUAGCCGGCCUGAGAGGGUGACCGGCCACAUUGGGACUGAGAUACGGCCCAGACUCCUACGGGAGGCAGCAGUGGGGAAUAUUGCACAAUGGGCGGAAGCCUGAUGCAGCAACGCCGCGUGCGGGAUGACGGCCUUCGGGUUGUAAACCGCUUUCGCCUGUGACGAAGCGUGAGUGACGGUAAUGGGUAAAGAAGCACCGGCUAACUACGUG